UUUUUUGAUACUACCUAACCACUUAGCCCAUGCUGCUCAGGGAAAAGAGCGAAAAACCAGUCGCUUUAAAGCAGAAUUUAACCGUCGCUUU
This 91-nucleotide transfer RNA is filed under the name Shewanella piezotolerans WP3. RNAcentral describes it as "tRNA-Ser". The record is from RNAcentral. Lineage: Bacteria; Pseudomonadati; Pseudomonadota; Gammaproteobacteria; Alteromonadales; Shewanellaceae.